GACGAACGCUGGCGGCGUGCUUAACACAUGCAAGUCGAACGGAAAGGCCCUGCUUUUGUGGGGUGCUCGAGUGGCGAACGGGUGAGUAACACGUGAGUAACCUGCCCUUGACUUUGGGAUAACUUCAGGAAACUGGGGCUAUUACCGGAUAGGAGCUCCUGCUGCAUGGUGGGGGUUGGAAAGUUUCGGCGGUUGGGGAUGGACUCGCGGCUUAUCAGCUUGUUGGUGGGGUAGUGGCUUACCAAGGCUUUGACGGGUAGCCGGCCUGAGAGGGUGACCGGCCACAUUGGGACUGAGAUACGGCCCAGACUCCUACGGGAGGCAGCAGUGGAGAAUAUUGCACAAUGGGCGGAAGCCUGAUGCAGCAACGCCGCGUGCGGGAUGACGGUCUUCGGGUUGUAAACCGCUUUCGCCUGUGACGAAGCGUGAGUGACGGUAAUGGGUAAAGAAGCACCGGCUAACUACGUG
This 468-nucleotide ribosomal RNA is filed under the name uncultured bacterium. RNAcentral's name for it is "partial 16S ribosomal RNA". It matches the Rfam family "Bacterial small subunit ribosomal RNA", at positions 28 to 507 of the family's 1533-position model. The record is from RNAcentral.